RNA transcript from Diceros bicornis minor, 2264 nucleotides. It is a transcript of the gene named ral guanine nucleotide dissociation stimulator-like, with no coding region annotated. NCBI's taxonomy places the organism in Eukaryota, Metazoa, Chordata, Mammalia, Perissodactyla, Rhinocerotidae. The record is from RefSeq and is a predicted model, not a curated record. The transcript is spliced from 6 exons.
CCAUCCAGUUGGCGCCUGGGUUGAGGGGAGGAUGGCAUCAAGGAUAUCUUCCUGGAGGAGGGGCUGAUUAUUCCCAUUCUGAGAACAGGUAGAUCCUGGAUGGAACUGGAGGGAAGGAGCGUUCCCAGGACUGGUCCUCUGCCCCAGUCCUCACCCCCCACAAGGCCCCUGCAGCAUCCCCCACCCAGGCCCUGUCUGCAUCCUCUCCUUCCCUCUGGUCCCAGGAAUACCGAGUCAUGAGGGAGAUCCUGCUGCUCCAGGUCGCUGCAAAGAAUUAUAACAAGACCCCAAGGAGUGAUUUGGGGCCUGGUUCCAGGACAUGGAGCUGCUCAACGAGAAUGAGUCAAACACCAAGGGUAGAGGUCUUCAAGAGAUCAAGUCUAAUCUACCUACGGGUGUGGCAGGCUUACCUAUGGAUGUUCAAGCCAGACAUUGCCAGAAGAACUACAUCUCUUCACCCAUAGAAAAAUGAAUGAUGUGACCAUUUGGUGCAGGACAACAGCAUUAUGUUCACCAGUCUCUGUACUGUAUGUUACUGCACAGCACGGACUGUAGGAAAAAGCCCAGAGGAGCAAUGAAGACAAAGAAGACACGACACCUGCAAAAAGUCAGUGAAGUAUUUCUACACAACAAACCUUCCAGGCUGCCAUGAUCCUCCCUCUGGACCCUGUGGUCAGGGUCGCUGCAGAGAUCCUCCCUUUGGACCCCGCCUGCCUGAAGGGCCCAUACCUUGGUCAGGAGUCUUAGAAGGACUGCCGUGAGCCAUGUCAUAAAAAGGAGAAAACAUCACAUUGGACAGCCCCAAUUCCUGCAUAUACAGACGGGAAACUUAGGUGCACUGCUACUCUGACUCCAAAUACUACAGCACCACAUGCUUCUCAGACUGGUGGAUGCACAGCUCCACUUCUUUGCAGAGAGGAUGCACAACAGCAGAAUAUCCGUGGCCCGACUUUCUGGAGCAUCAGUACUACUACAAGAUUUAGAAAAAGCAAAGUUAGGUCAUUUCCAAGGUUCUCCGCCACCAACUUCCAUAACCAUCAGGAUAUUCUACAACUUCUGCAAGAGUAACAAUUUUACCUUACACUGUAUUUGUCUCAUGUGGUUUAAAACAUCCAGAAAUCAUUGAUAAACUGACCCUGCCCAAACUAAAGCAUGGUGAGUUAUAAAAGAUGGUCGCUGUUAAGUGGGGAGGGAUUGCAGGUUGAACUUAAUUUUAUAAGUGGUCAAUUUAUUACAAUAUAUUGUUCUAUUAUCUAUUUCACUUCUUUUUUAAAAAAAGUGAUAUUUGAGGGCACUUAGAUAAUAAAAAGUUGAGAAGAUAAAGAACUGAUAUACUCUGUAAGCUUGAAAUGUUUUCAAGCAUAAGAUACAAUAAGAACUAAAACUAAGAAAUGGCAGAGGAAAUAGAGAUAAGAGGAUGAAAUUGCAAAACUGAAUCUAUAAUAAUAUCUCAAUGGCUAGCGCUGUGGUGCCAAGAAGGUGGUGUAGUCAAAGAAUUCGUAAAGAUGAUAAUAGACUGCAAAGAAAAAAGACUGAAAUUUUUGCAGAGAGAAUUUUUACAGCGAUAUUACAGAUAGAGAACAGGGAAGAGAAGUUGGAGUGAGAGACUAUCUUCUUAAAUUACUUCCACUGUAGAGAACAAAAAACCAAUUUGCUGAAAUCUUUAUUCCCUUCUAUGACCCUGUGGAAGAUCAAGAUUUGGCCACCCUGAAAUCUAUCUCUUUACCUUGGUUGUUUUCUCUGAGGGCAUUUGACCUCCCCCACUAACUGCCUAAAGAAUUUAAAACAAAACAUCUGUUUCAGGAAGGAGUUAUUAUCAUGAUGGCUGUAAAUAUAAUGUACAAUAGAUAUUACAAUAGAAAAGACACCAACAAGCCCAUCUUAUCAGAAGUUCUGUCUCUGACCAUAUUCUUUGGAUGGCCCUGCAAGGAGUUGCCAGACAGACAUUUACAUUUAUAAGGGAAAUCUCCAUUUGUAAAGGUAUCUGCCUCUCUGAAUUGGGAAGAGGGGGAAUGACCUCAUUUCUAGAAACUUAUCAAUGUAAAAGGUGAGGCCUUAAAUCUGCAUAAUAACCUCACUCUUGUUUACUGUGCUUUAGUGGUAAUCUCCUGUAACUGACUCCCCCCACCCCCAACAACUUCCUUUGUCAUUGGCUGAACAUGAUAUUUAAGAUGAGAAUUCUGCUAUUGUGUUGAGAAACGCAGUGUCCUUGCUUUCUCCCAUGCAUACAUGUUAUUAAACUUGGUAUUAUUUUCUCCUUCUAA